CAAACUUUCAUCCAGUGCCUGGGAGGAUUAUCCCCAGUGAUAAAGUUUAAAGGGAUGGCAGCAGUCAAGAAUAAAGCUGUGCAUUGAUUUCAUCAUAAGUCCAAAAUACUGACUGCAUGUACAAAUAUGAAUAUAGUUACAUAUUUAUAAAUAUUAUAUUUUAUAUGUAAUUAUAUAAUUGUUAACAGUAUGUUUAUAUAUCUCUUAACUGAUUAUUAACUGAUCAAAAGCAAUCUGCUGGAUAAUACAUAAAUUAUCAAUACUACUAUGUUUUAAAACACAUAACUAUAUUUUUAUCUUGAUUUUCCCUAUCUUACAUGGAAAUUUUCAAUAAUUUACAAACAUCAAUAAAAUUCAACAACCUGGGCUGGGCGCAGUGGCUCAUGCCUGUAAUCCCAGCACUUUGGGAGGCCAAGGCAGGCGGAUCACGAGUUCAGGAGAUUGAGCCCAUCCUGGCUAACAUGGUGAAACCCCAUCUCUACUAAAAAAUACAAAAAAUUAGCUGGGUGUGGUGGCGGCCGCCUGUAGUCCCCGCUACUCGGGAGGCUGAGGCAGGAGAACGGAGUGAACCUGGGAGGUGGAGCUUGCAGUGAGCUGAGAUUGCGCCACUGCAUUCCAGCCUGGGUGACAGAGCGAGACUCUGUCUCAAAAAGAAAAAAAAAAAAUUCAACAACCUAAUUCCCAUUGCAAAUAUUUUUCUUUCACAUUUUUUCUCCACCUAAUUUCUAAACACUAGUAGUAACUAACAGCACAUCAUUAAUAACUCCAACUUUCCAAAAACACUAGACAGGAUGGAAAUUAACUAUAAAACAAAUCUAAUUAACUUAUGGCUAGAGAUUCUGACUUUUAGCAACUUCUCAGUGAUGAAGGUAAGUAAACCCUUUCACUCAUGAGUCAACAUGCUUAAGUAUUUGUUCCAGAAAACUAUUGCCUAGGAAAAUAAGUCUAUAACCAAUAACUAACUUGACUGUGUAAAUUCCUGCAAGUACAUCUGUCUGGACAAAGAGUUUGUUGAAAUGGAGAAGCGGUUCUCUUACCGAGACAAUAGACUGCUCACCUAGGAACCAGCUCGUUAACCAAACAGCAGUUUACUACCAAGACUCACUUCAAAACUCACGCUUUGUUGCACCUACCAAUCCAAAUUAUAUGAUGACAUAAAAUUUGUCCAAUUCUCAGUCAGUCCUUUGUGUUGAACAACCCAUCGUUUUUUUGUUGUUGUUUUGUUUUGUGUUGUUUUUUUUUUUUUGAGACAGAGUCUUGCUCUGUUGCCCAGGCUGGAGUGCAGUGGCAUGAUCUCAGCUCACUGCAACCUCUGCCUCCUGGGUUCAAGCAAUUCUCUGCCUCAGCCUCCUGAGUAGCUGGGAUUACAGGUGCCUGCCACCACGCCCAGCUAAUUUUUUUGUAUUUUUAGUAGAGACGGGAUUUCACCAUCUUGGCCAGGCUGGUCUUGAACUCCUGACCUCGUGAUCCACCCACCUCAGCCUCCCAAAGUUCUGGGACUACAGGCAUGAGCCACCGCGCCUGGCUGAAAGACCCAUCUUAAACCACUUGAUCCCAAACAACAAAACCCUUCCAAUAACUUCUCCUGACCUCCCCUCUGACACACUCUGAAGUCUGUCAAAGUGGUAUCUGCCUUUACUGCAGGGGAUCCUAUAAACUUAGCUUUGCUUGACUAAUAGUUUUUUGGGGAGUUCACCACGUCAACACCUCUACCUAUCUGUGAGUUAAGUUUGUUUCCUUAAAUAUGAUUCAUUUAAGCUUCAAAUUCUAGUCUGGGCUAUGAGGAAGGCAAUUAUCGGUGAGAAUUCACAAAUGGCUGCUUGCUCUCAUCCAAAAUUGUCCCUUUCAGCUUCCUGGAGCCCACUUCAGAAAUUCUCACUUCUACUUGUCUUCGAAAAGUGGCUCUUCCCUUCUGUGGAGAAAGCAGUUACUAGGACAUUAUAAAAUUGCCCCACCAGGUAGCUAUUCCAAGAGUUUUGUUUAUUUUGUACUGCUGGUGCCUGGCAUAGUCUCUGUAUUUCUGUUGUCUGAAAAAUUCAUUUAAGACCUCAAUUCUGAAAGUAACAGGAGAGAUGUACUGUUAACAUUCUAAAGUAAGGUACUAAGUGCCUUCCUCAUGGAACUUAGUUAUAAAAUUGCAAAACUAGGCAUGUAACCUUUACUGCAUCAUCCACCACCAGCCUAUAAAAAGAAGACUACAGAUUUGAAAGUGGGCUUGGGGAGCCUAAAGAGUUGCUAGCCUAGUAAAGACAUUUUUUGCAUCUUCUUCCCUGUCCCAUCUGAUUUUAUCAUUUGUUUAUUAUAUUGGGAUCCAUAACUGGUAAAACAUUUUACAUUGAGACUCAGUGCAGAAAUACAUAUAUGUGUGUUUGGAUGUAUGUGUGUGUGUGUGUGUGUGUGUGUGUAUAAACUGAAACAAAGUUUCAUAAAAUAAUACCUAUCCUUGCUAUGUGUGAUGCACUCUGAUAUUUUCUAUAAUGAUCCAUUGUAUUCUAUUUUAUCAUUUUUAAAACAUAGUUUCCAACUACUAAAUGAAUUUAACAAACAAUGAACCACAACCUCAAGUUGAAAAACACUCUCAGAGAUAUGCCUAUAGAAAUUGGGACAUCUAAUCAAAUGGGAGUGAGCUUCUUAGUCUGGGCUGGGUGUCUUCAAUCAGCUUUGGCUUCAGAAUAUCCAUCCAGGGAAGUCAUAGACCAAAGUGAGUCAGGCUAAGUUGAUUCAAUACUUGCUAACCAGUCACAACCCACAGAAUGAAAACCACUAACAAAACCCCGGUGCAUUCCUAGACUUUGUUUGGAUUGCUAAUUCUCCAAUAAGAUUGGGAGAAAUAAGAGCCAGUAAACCUCUGCCUGGCAGUUAAUCCUUGUGACACAAUUUUUCACAAUGUUCUCUUUUCUUUCUCUAGGGAUUGGUGGUUCUAAGUCCCAGGAUGUGAAAAUAAAUAGGAGAUUUGUUCAAGUCUCCUGGUAGCUGGAGAAGAAAUGGCUCUCUCAACUCCCAGUUGAGGGCAAUAACAAUGAAUGUUCUCUUGGGAAGAAAAAAUUUUUACUUGGAGAGAAGUAACUCCAUUCCAAGGCCUGGAUACACACUGUGUGGCAGGCUUUGCCUGGGUCUGUACCUGUGUGUGAAUGCAAACACCUUUCAUCAUUAUCUCCCAGAAAAGAAAGAUCUUUCUCCGUAUCUUCUGAAAAAAAAAAAAAAAAAACACAAUAUAGAGAAAUUUUUAAGAUUCCAAAAAUCCUAAUAAUCAUCAGAGUUGAGCAAUAUUGUAAAUACAUCCUUUAACUUCUAUUGAGAAAAACAGCAGUAUAUGUGAAACUAGAAAAAUAAUUUUUAUAAUUCUAACAAUAUAUACAGCUGAUUUUCCAUCUCUUCAGAAACAAAGACUCUUAGCCAAUUUCCUAGUCUGCUGUAGAUCCUCCCACUAAAACAGAGUGCUGUACUUAGACAUGAAAAGAAGUUGUAAAACCUCCCUUUUAAAAAUUCAAAUAGACCGCCAGUUCAUCUUGAAUGACGUAAGGCAGAAAGCAGGAAAGGGUAAGAGAAAUAAGCAGGAAAGGGUAAGAGAAAUGGAGAGUAUCACUGUUCUUAAGUUCAGCAAAACUGACCUUGCCCAAGCAAAAGGAAUGGCUCCAGAAUCAAGUUAAUGGUGGCAAAAGAAGUUACCCAAAGAGUGCAGACUAAAAAAAAGCCUGAAGGCACAUGUGCACACAAUUGGCUCAUAAACCACCACCUGAUCUAAGCCAUGAAAGCAAGCAAGACUGGACUACCCCUUCCUGCGUCUCAAUGACAUCCUCUGCUCACAAGCUUAAUGGUUCCCUUGUUCCCUCAAGGCCAACAGUCACAGUUCCUUCAGUCUCGGGACCUGUGGGUGCUGGGGACAGGAGAGAGCACAGUGUAACCCUCCUUGGAUGAAUGCCUCCAGAAGUGGUUGUUUCGUGCCCUCCCCAGCAAUGCCUUUUUCUGGCUGGUAGUGACUGGGAAGGGGAUUGAUGACAAGCACAAAAAUAGAACUGCCCAGAAAGGAACACGAAGCUCCAUGAUGGCUCUCAUAAAGCUGCCUGAAAAACAUUCUAUCUGGUAACCACUUCCACUCAUGCCAGUGGAAUUAAAGUCUCUGCUAAAAUAGAAGGAAAUAUUUUUUUUUAAAAUGUAACUAAUAUGUUUCUUUAUUAUUUAACCUUAUGAAAACACAGUGAAAAAGUCAAGAAAAAGAUAAUGCAAAUUUUCCCAUUUUGCAGAUAAAGGAAUGAACCCACCUAAGUGGAGAUUUGCCUAAUAUUACUCAUAUAGUAAGUGGCACAGCCAAGACUCAAGUCAGUGACAGCUCCAAGGUACAUGUUCUUUCUUCAAACUUGUCAGCUGAGGAAGAGGUAGGUAGGAUCUUGGGGAGGAGCAAUGAGUUGGUAUGUGAUGAGGCAUUUGGCAACAGCCCUGUCCUGAAGGCCCAGAAGCCAUCUCUACAUCCUUUCCUGUGCUGAGGUUCUAAUAUUUAACAUAACGUUUCAUUUCUAGAUGUUAGUAAGUUUUAUUACCUCUGUGUUACAUUUUAUUGAAUAAUAUUUGCCUAUAAAUUUUAUUUGGGAUGAUGUAAUUUAUUAAAUUAUUUGAGGAUGAGCAUAUGUAAUCCUAAAGAUCUGUAUGUUUUUUCGUUUUUAGAAAGAAUGAGCAGUCUGUUUAAUUGUGUCCUCUCUCUCGAGCCAUUUAAAUUAAUUUUAAAGAGAUGCUUUAAAACAUUCAAACACACACAUUCCACAUUAUUCUCACAGUUUUCCCACUGCAGAAAAUUCUGAUAUCAGAGCCCAUCAAGGUCCUGG
Molecule: long non-coding RNA, 4820 nt
Filed under: Homo sapiens (human)
Lineage: Eukaryota; Metazoa; Chordata; Mammalia; Primates; Hominidae
Description: HSALNT0334467
Source: RNAcentral